Molecule: non-coding RNA, 539 nt
Filed under: Pan troglodytes (chimpanzee)
Lineage: Eukaryota; Metazoa; Chordata; Mammalia; Primates; Hominidae
Source: RNAcentral
GAGGUGCGGCGCGGGCCCUCCUCCCAUUGGACCCGGCGCUCCCGGCAGGGGGUGACCUUUAUCUUCAUGGCCCAGUGUGACUGCAAGAGCUCUAGCAUCCAAGUUCCCAGCAGAAGGAUGGAGGACUGACUGGAAAAACAAGGAGACACAGGGUAUGCAUCGGGAUCUUUCUGCUGAUGCAGCUGUUAAGAGUGUUUCAUAAACUGUGACAACACUGAGACUUGAAGAAGCUGAGUGAGAAGGCCAUGCAGAUAUCUUGGAGAAGUGCAUUCCAGGCAGAGGAAAAGCCAGUGCAGAGACACUGAAGCAGGGCAUGACUGAUGUGUAUAAGGAGCAUCAUAUACAUGAUCAUCUACAGUCCACUGAGAAUAGCAGACGAAAGGCCAGGUGCAGUGCAUGUAAUCCCAGCACUUUGGGAGACUGAGAUGGGAAGAUCGCUUGAGGCCAGGAGUGCAAGACCAGCCUGGGCAACACAGCAAGACCUUGACUCUACUAAAAAAAAAAAAGGAUCCUUCAACUUCAACAAUAAUAACACGAGG